This 292-nucleotide ribosomal RNA is filed under the name uncultured Sphingobacterium sp. RNAcentral's name for it is "partial 16S ribosomal RNA". It matches the Rfam family "Bacterial small subunit ribosomal RNA", at positions 9 to 300 of the family's 1533-position model. Lineage: Bacteria; Pseudomonadati; Bacteroidota; Sphingobacteriia; Sphingobacteriales; Sphingobacteriaceae. The record is from RNAcentral.
GAGUUUGAUCUUGGCUCAGGAUGAACGCUAGCGGCAGGCAUAAUACAUGCAAGUUGAACGGGAUUCAGAUAGCAAUAUUUGAUGAGAGUGGCGCACGGGUGCGUAACACGUAUGCAACUUACCUUAAACUGGGGGAUAGCCCGUGGAAACAUGGAUUAAUACCCCAUAGUAUAUUGAUUAGGCAUCUGAUUAAUAUUAAAGUUACGGCGGUUUAAGAUGGGCAUGCGCGUCAUUAGCUAGAUGGGGAGGUAACGGCUCACCAUGGCGACGAUGACUAGGGGGUCUGAGAGGA